This is a long non-coding RNA of Lactuca sativa (garden lettuce), 5675 nucleotides long. RefSeq lists it as uncharacterized. Lineage: Eukaryota; Viridiplantae; Streptophyta; Magnoliopsida; Asterales; Asteraceae. The record is from RefSeq and is a predicted model, not a curated record.
CUGCAGUCUGCACUCCCUUCCUUCUUCUCCAACAUCAUGAAACGUCUCUUCAACCCACGUCUGUGUUUUCCAUAUUUUGGUUUUUCCUCUGUCACUUGUCUUCUUCUUGAUUCUUCUUUGAUAGCUCUUUUCGAAGGCUUUUCAUUUUUUUUCUACUUUACAAUUAGGGUUUUUGAGUUUCUUGGUUUUCAGUUUUGAAAGGCAAAGGUUCCUUGUACAAAAGUUUCCUACUUGAAAAUUAGGGUUUUCGAAUUCUUGAUUAUAAGUUUCUGUUCUUCAUUUAGAACAGAGAUAAUCUUCGAAUCUUUUGGUUUUAUCAAAUUGCAGUUAUUUUGGCUAGUCCAUUGAUCACGUUCUUGAUCCUGCUUAAGUUUAUUGCUCGACUUUCUUGUUUAACUAUUUAUUUUGAACUAAGAAGAUACAGAGCGAAUCAUAGUGAUCUUUUGAUUUUAUUCAUUUAAACUUCUUUUUUAUGCUCCUUUUCUGUGAUAAUGAAGCUGUUUACGGGUUUUUCUAAGUUAUUCCUUCUUAUGUUAUUAAAUUUUUUUGGGUUAUCCCAAUAACUUUUUCUACAUUUUUUGCAAUAAGGCCUCAUAGCCUUCUUAUUUGGAUAUUAAAGUUCAGUUUUCUUAUCUGUCCACAUUAUUUACUUUCUUGGAACUUCUUUCUUUCUUUUUUAAUCUGUUAUUGUAAUCAAGAAUUUCAACUCUGUUGAUAACAAUCUUUUAGUGACAAUGGACCUUUCUUAGGUUGCUGAAGUAAAAACAAAAGAUAGCAGUGUAAUGAACUUUUUUUCUUUAUUAACUUUCUUGUAUGAAUCUUAAUGUCAUUCGCUUUUUCUACAGUUGCUUUAAUGGAGGAAAAUACACACAUGUUUACUGAAGUUCAGUUCAUGUCAACAGAUUCUUGGUGGUAAUAUGCAGUCUAUCUGGUUUGUGCAUUUAUAUGCAAAAUUAAUAUUAUUUAAAUGGCUUAUCUAUCCUAUAUUAAUAUAAUUUCAUUUGUUUGAUAAAACUUUGGAUUUAUUCAUUAAUAUAAUUUCAUUUUGAUGAGAUGUUUGCUCAAUGUUGAUGUUCAAGUGGGGGUGUAUUUGUGUCAAUCCUCUGUUUUUUCAUAAAUGUUUGUUGAAUAUCAGUAAUAGCCUAUUGAUUGAUCAUGGUCUUUAUUGAAGUAUCUUUCUUUCUAUAAUGGUCUUUAUGAUUAUGUUUUUUUUUUUAAAUCUUCUCUUCCUUUUGAUGCCUUGGUUAUUUCAUGUCUUAUGUGAUCAAAUGUCAUGUUCUCUGUUUUCUUUUUGAUGAUGAUGAUGAUGAUGAUGUGAUGCUUAUUUCUUAGUUGGCAUGAUUCAUGAAUAAUGAUGUGCUUGUAUAUUGACUGACUAUCAUUGUAUGUAUAAGAUAGGCCUCUUUGUGAUGUUUCUUUUAACCAUUAAACAUGUCAUCAAGGGAUCAAAUUUAAUUUUUUAAGUGGACUUAAGAAGGUGAAAACAACCAAGGUAGUCAGCUCAUCUUUUUGUGAUUACUCAGAUUAUCAUUAGUUGUUUAAGCAAAAAAUGCAAUUCAUCCAAUACUUCAUUUUGUUAGAUGAUUAGUAAGUUGAAUCAUGGUAUGUCAACUCCUUGAACCUCUUAUAUGUUCUUCUUGUUUUUUUCCUUUUAGCUACAAAAAGAAUAUAGAAGAUUAUGGUCUAUUGUAUUAUCUCCACUUAGAUCAGACACAGGUAAAAAAAACAUCAUAAAAAAUGUCUCUUAUCCUUUUAUUCAAAUACUCACAAAGAAUGAGACUAAAUAUAUGUUUAUCUUUUCCUUUUUGAAUAUGUUUUAUCUUUUUUCUAUAUUUUGCUAUCUUCAGGUUGUGAAGUCAACAUUCAAGUAUUUGUCUACCUUAUAUUCUUCUUGAGGCUUGAGAUCAAAUUAUAAGGCAUUUGAUGUGGUGGUUUAUAUAUUUUCAGACAUCAAUUGUUUCUUCCUUUUACAAAAUCAAUAAAUUAAUAAUUUCACCUAACCUUUAUCUUUUUGUUAGAUCUUGACCACUUAUCCUGCUCAUCUUGUGGUUGGAAUGUAUGCCUCUUUAUUUCAAUAGUUUUUAGUUUCUUUUUACAAGAAAUAAAAAGUAACUUAUCAACUGUUUUUAAUUGCACAACAGUCCUCUUUUUGAUCAUGAUGCGAUUGUUAUUUCUUACUUGGCAUUAUUCAAGAUGUGUCUGUAGAUUGACUGACUAUCAUUGUGCAUAGAACAUGUUCACUAUGGGAUCCGAUUUUUUUUAAACGGCUUAUCUAUUUUAUAGCUUUUACCCUUUUUUUCUUCGUAAAAUUGAUCUUCUUUAAUCGGAUUAACUUAUCCCCUUUUAUACAUUUUGUACCGAUUAUGCUCAUAUUUUGAUGCUAUCAAUUGCUAAUGUUGAUUUUGGCCCUAGUGAUGAUGUACUUAUUAAAAAGGUGAAAAUAAACCGAGGUUGUCAUCUCAUCUUUUUGUGAAUAAUCGGAUUAUAAUUAGUUGUUUAAUCAUAAAUUAUAAUUCAUCUAAAUCUAAUACUUCAUUUUGUUAGGGAAAUGGUGUGGGCUCCAAAAUAAAGGUUGAAAGGAGUCAUAGAUGCAUGUAAAAGUAAGUUGCUUCUUAAGUAAGGUAAUGAAACUAGCUAGUGAUUUCAUCAUGCUUUUUUAGACUUUAAAACCAAUGGGCAGAUAUUUGUAUCAUCUUAAACCAUUUAUCUUCUUCCUUGAAGGUACAAAAAGAAUGUAGAUUGUGGUUCAUUGUAUUUGUAUCAUCUCCAAACAGAUUAAAUGACCAUUUUAUCCUACAUUUCUAUAAGAAAAUUUCAAAAUAUUCAUUAAUUUCAACAUUAUAUACAUUUUCUUCUUGAUGAAAUUAAUUUUAUCUAAAUUGAUUAUCUAUCCCAUAUAAAUAUAUUUUCAUCUGUUUUAUAACUUUUUAGAUUUGUUUAUCAGGAAGCAAGUCCAAGAAAUGUCUCUUCAACCAUGUCUGAUUUUCAUAUUUUGUUUUAUCAUCUGUCCCUUAUCUUGUUCUUGAUUCUUCUUGAAUGUUUUUUUUUUCAAAUUUUUUAAUGACAGGGGUGGUUCCUUCUAUAGUUUCUUUCCUAUUUGAAAAUUAGGGUCUUUGAGUUUCUUGGUUAUCAAUUUCAUAUUUUUCAUCAUGUUCAUUUUAUACAUAGAUAAUUUUAAAAUCUUUUGGUUUUAUUUAUUUGUAGUGUUUUUGAUAGUUGAUUGAUCCUGCUAUUUGUUGUUCUAAAGUUCAUUAACUUCAUCAGUCAUUUAGAACAAAAAAGAUACAAAAUGAAAGAUGUGUUAGUUUUUUCUUAUCAAAGCAUUUCACUUUAAAAAGUUUAUAAGUUAUAGGAUUAUACUCUCAAAUUUCUUAUUAUAAGCACAUUACCAUUUUAAAAAUCAACAAAAUUAUAGCAUUGCAUUAUAAGUUUUCUUUUUGUUACAACAUUGUAAGUUUCAAAUUUUUUUUAUCAUCAAGACAUUUUAUGUUAACAAAUCUACCAAUUAAGUUUUCUUAUUAUGAGCUCAUUUCCCCUUGAAAAAUCAACCCGUUUAUAGCAUUACUUUUAUUUCUCUUGAAUGAUAGGCACAAAUACAAUGAUGGAAUUUUUCUUUUUUCCCUUAAUUUAUGUUUUUGUGGAUGAGCUAUAUGCAGUUAGUAUAUUCAUGCUUUUUUUAUACUUUGCCUUCUUAUUUGAAGAUAAAAGUUAGGUUUUCUUGGAACGUAUUUUCUUUCUUUUUAAUCUAUUAUUGUAAUCCAGAAUUUCAACUCUGUUGAUAACAAUCUUUUGGUGACAAUGGAGCCUUUUUUAGGUUGUUGAAGCAAAAACAGAUGCUUGGUGUUAAUCUGUAGUUUAUCUGGUUUGUCCUUUGUUCACCCCUUUGUAUUUUAUAACUUUUACAUUUCUAUGCAAAAUUAAUCUUUUCUCAAGGGUUUAUCCAUCCCAUAUUAAUAUAAUUUUAUUUGUUUGAUGAGAUGUUUGCUGAAUGUUGAUGUUCAAGUGGGUAUUUGUGUCCAUUCUCUGUUUUUUCAUAAAUGUUUGUUGAAUAUCAGUAAUGGCCUGUUGAUUGAUCAUGCUCUUUAUUGAAGUAUCUUCCUUUCUAUAAUUGUCUUUAUGAUUAUGUUUUUUUAAUCUUCUCUUCCUUUUGAUGCCUUAGUUAUUUCAUGUCUUUUGUGAACAAUUGUUCUGUUCUUGAAAUAAGAGCCUUUUUCCUUUUAUAUAUUAUUUUGAUGCUAUCAAUUUCUGUAGGGCCAUACAACUCUUUAAUGUUGAUUUUGGCUCUAGUGAAUAGUGAUGGACUUCAGAAGGUGAAAAUAACCAAGGGGAAAUGGAGUGACCUCCAAAAUACAGAUUGAAAGGAGUCAUCUCUGCAUGUAAAAGUUGCUUCUUAAGGUUCUGAAGAAAGAUAUAAAAGUCAGCAUUCAAGUAUUUGUCUAUACUCCAUUGUUCUUGACACUUAAGAUCAAAUUAAGGCAUUUGAUGUGGAUAUAUGAAUUCCUUCAUCUUCAGGAAAUGACUUGGAAUGCUGGCUUAAAACCGAGGACUAUGUAGUAAUUUAUAUAUAAUUUUAGACAUCAAUUGUUUCUUCCAUUUACAAAAUCAAUAAACUAAUAGUGUCACCUUCACCUUUACUUUUUUAAUAGAUGUUGAAGUUGAGCAUUGAUCCUGUUUGUCUUGUGGUUGGACAUCCUUGCACCAAUGUCACUGUAUAUCAAUUUUCUUUCAAUAGGCUUUACUUUCUUUUUACAAAAAAAGUAACUUAUUAACUUUUGUUAAUUGCACAACAGGCUUCUUUCUCAAAACGAGUUGUCAAUCUAGAAUCAUCCAUGAUCUUUUUUAAUAUUCUCUUUUUUUUUUCUACAGUUGUUAUAUUGGAGAAAAAUACACAUAUGUUUACUGAAAUUCACUUGUUGUCAACAGAUGGUUGGUGGUAAUAUGAAGUUUAUGUGGUUUGUAUGUUCUUAUUCUCACCCCCUUUCUAUUUUAUAGCUUUUACAUUAAUAUGAAAAAUUAAUCUUCUUUAAAUGUUUUCUUGUUGAAAGACGGGGAGCACAAACAUGUGACUCCUCUUCCAUUUUGAUGAGAUGUUGGCUCACUGUUUAAUGUUUAAGUUGGUGUCUUGUGUCAUUUCUCUCUUUUUUCAUAAAUGUUUGUUGAAUAUCACUAAUCUCAAUGUGGAUAUUCUUUGAUGAUAUGAGAUUUUGAGGCUAAUGUAAGGACAAUCUUGUUUAAAAUGACUCGAAUAAUGGCCUCAUCUCUCUUGUGUAGACUAAUUCAUUGAGAAAUUGAUUGCAACUUUUAGGUUUUAAUUUAUUUUCUUUGAUUGCAUGAAUGUUUUCAUGUAUUUUGAUUUAGCACCUAAUCUGGACAGCUAUAUAUGACUGUUUUGUUUUUAGCUUAAUCUGGACAGAAUUACUUAAAGGGUAAAUCCAAAAACCAUUACUUAAUGUAUUAAUUAGACACCAACACUAUACAUAUUUUCUUUUUCCUUUCAGCUCCUCCCAAGCUAAAAUUGAAAAAUAAGUUGAAUAUGUAUUAAUUUUUUGAAAUAUGAGGGAAAAUAGUCAUUUAGUCUUCUUUUAGAUGGUUUAUUCAGUCUAAAACAAGAAACAUGACUUAUGUAUGCAAAUAUCUUUAUCCAUUUAGCCACUUUACCAUUACACGCCUUAUUA